CACACCAUCCUCUGAAUGAAAAAGUUGCACCUAACGCACAAUUGUUAUGGUGAUAGAAGAACUGUAGUUAGAUGGGUGCACUUGGAAUGAUUUAGGUGUGGUGUAGCGGUAGUGCCCCUACCUCUGGACCAGAAGACAUGGGUUCAACACCCACGUGUUCCAGAGGUGUGUAAUAUCAUCUCUGAACAGGUUGAUUAGGAAAUAUCUAUGCUCUGUACCAUUGAGGACAUUCCAUUCCAGGCUCUGAACCCUGUCACUUUUGAGACCCAAAUCUUCUAUGUGGAUGGAGCUGGCUGUUAGGGUCAACAGCAGAGGAGUGAUGCCCAGCACCAGACCAUUUCAAUUACUUUCUGAAAAGGUUAAUUCAAAGAUAGACCUAGACAGUAUGCCUUCUGAUUGGUAGAGUGUAUUCUGAGGGUGCAUUAGUUCUCCUGUUGAUGGGAAUAGAUAAAUGUUUGAUAUAUUUCAUAAAUCAAGAGCAAAAGUCAGAACUCUAUCACUGUUAGUCUGGAAAGUGAAGUACAGACUACAGCAGCAUUUGACAAUGGAAAGCUGCAGAUGGUGAGGAAGAGAUACAUUACCCCAAACUGUCUUCAUUCACCUUCCAGGCCAAAUGAGAAUGAAAUGCCAUGGAGAAGGAAAGAUAGUGGGGUGCUACAGUUUCAUUGAUACACUUUGAGGAACUGACCCGUGAUUUGGCUAGAGUGGCAAGCCAUAAAAGACAUUGGGGAUGGAGAAAUGAAGGUAUACUGUAGACAGGGUGAAAAUACCUCAACAUCUUCACAUUCAUAUGAUGCACUGCUCCCUGUAUAUUGAGCUGUAAAAGUAUGAGCUGUCAUUUAAUUUUUAGCAGUAUGAUCUUCUGUUCACUGUCUCUACAAUGCAGCAUCAUCUUCUCUUAUGCUUGCCUCACAAUCACAAUGACUCCAAAUUACAUUCCAGAGAAGUCAGUUGGAAAACUCCUUUCGGGAAGCACCAUCACAUCUUUCUUGGAUUCCUGCCAUCAGAACCGAUGUUGACAUCUUGCUGGUCUACACAUCUUUUAAGGAAGCUCGAGAAUGGAUUCAGCUUUGGCUAGUCCCUUUUGAAGGUCGGAGGACAAAUGAAAGGCAGAGACUCUAAGGAAUCAUGGAAACAAGAUAAUUAGGGAUGGCUAAUAAACAAUGGCCUCACCAAUGAUGCCCACAUCCUAUUAAUGAACAAAAGAAGAAAAACAAAUAAGAAAAGAAAAAGUGGGAUGGCACUAUCAGGACUUAAUUGACAGGAAGCAACAUUGAAAGAGAAUUAAAGUUGAUAAUGCUCUGCACCAAAAGUUCCAGACCACAGAACAUAGAAGAAGAACAUAGAACAGUAUUCUAAAGGCUCUGGAAGAGUCCAUGCAGAUUGAAGGAAAGUUAAGCGUUGGAUCCUUUGAUGUAAAAGGAAAUCACAAUGAAAACUUCCCACAAACCUUUAGUUCACUGCUAAGUACUGCAUUACUCAUUUCAUCUGCUCGGAGUGUAAACUCAUGCUCUCGACAUUUCAUCACAGCAUCAAA
This is a non-coding RNA of Chiloscyllium plagiosum (whitespotted bambooshark), 1537 nucleotides long. The record is from RefSeq and is a predicted model, not a curated record. Lineage: Eukaryota; Metazoa; Chordata; Chondrichthyes; Orectolobiformes; Hemiscylliidae.